CCUACGGGUGGCAGCAGUGAGGAAUAUUGGUCAAUGGGCGUAAGCCUGAACCAGCCAAGUCGCGUGAGGGAUGAAGGUUCUAUGGAUCGUAAACCUCUUUUAUAAGGGAAUAAAGCGCGGUACGUGUCCCGCUUUGUAUGUACCUUAUGAAUAAGGAUCGGCUAACUCCGUGCCAGCAGCCGCGGUAAUACGGAGGAUCCGGGCGUUAUCCGGAUUUAGUGGGUUUAAAGGGUGCGUAGGCGGCCUUUUAAGUCUGCGGUGAAAGUCUGUGGCUCAACCAGGGAAUUGCCGUUGAAACUGGGGGGCUUGAGUAUGUUUGAGGCAGGCGGAAUGCGUGGUGUAGCGGUGAAAUGCUUAGAUAUCACGCAGAACCCCGAUUGCGAAGGCAGCCUGCUGAGCCAUGACUGACGCUGAUGCACGAAAGCGUGGGGAUCAAACAGGAUUAGAUACCCGUGUAGUC
RNAcentral lists this ribosomal RNA (460 nucleotides) under uncultured bacterium. Its description in RNAcentral is "partial 16S ribosomal RNA". It matches the Rfam family "Bacterial small subunit ribosomal RNA", at positions 338 to 795 of the family's 1533-position model. The record is from RNAcentral.